Molecule: RNA transcript, 3143 nt
Organism: Entelurus aequoreus (snake pipefish)
Lineage: Eukaryota; Metazoa; Chordata; Actinopteri; Syngnathiformes; Syngnathidae
Gene name: sodium/hydrogen exchanger 6-like
Exons: 17
Source: RefSeq, a predicted model, not a curated record
ACUGGUCAAGCCUAUAAUUGACAAGACAUUUGCUUUUGACGCACAUUUGUGUUUAAAAUACUUGUGUAUGAUUGUUUAUAUUUCAUUUAAAAAACGUGAACAUGUAUGUUUCCCGCUUGUAUGCAGUCUACCUUUAAACACCAUUUCGUGGCGAUAGUAAGUUGAAACAUACACGUUCCCACAUUUUUACUUCCGGGUCCAAAUUGAUUCUGCUGGCGCUGUCGUUUCCUGCUCGUCUGGCCAGUUGCUGUGCGACGUCAGCCCACAAAGUUUUGGACCCAGCCAAGACUACGCCGCAGCGUUUGUCUGCCGAACAUCUCGACAUGACUCCGAAGUGGACUGUCGGCCGAGCCCGCGGCGGGGCGACGAGGACGCGGUGGCUGCUCGUGCUGGUGAGCGUGUCCGUGUGCGUGUGCGUGUGCCGAGCAUCAUCACAGACUCAGCAUCAGCAGCAGCAUCAGCAGCAGCUGGAGGAGGAGGAGGACAGUGCCAAUGAGAACAUCGUCACGGAGAAGAAGGCCGAGGAGAGCCACCGGCAGGACAGCGCGGACUUGCUCAUCUUCAUCAUGCUCCUCACCCUCACUAUCCUCACCAUCUGGUUGUUCAAACACCGCCGCUUCCGCUUCCUGCACGAAACUGGGCUGGCGAUGAUCUAUGGUUUACUGGUGGGCGUGGUCUUGCGCUACGGCAUCCACGUCCCGCGGGACAUCAGCAACGCGACGCUGAGCUGCCACGUCAACGCCAGCCCCGCCACGCUGCUCAUCAACUCCAAGGGGAAGUUCUACGAGUACACGCUGAAGGGCGAGAUCGGCGCCAGCGAGGUCAACGACGUGCAGGACAACGAGAUGCUGCGCAAGGUGACCUUCGACCCUGAAGUGUUCUUUAACAUCCUGCUCCCGCCCAUCAUCUUCCACGCUGGAUACAGCUUAAAGAGGAGACACUUUUUCCGCAACAUGGGCUCCAUCCUGGCGUACGCCUUCUUGGGGACGCUCAUUUCCUGUCUUGUCAUCGGCUUGUUAAUGUACGGCUGCGUGACGCUGAUGAAGAAGAUGGGACAACUCGGCGGGGACUUCUUCUUCACCGACUGUCUGUUCUUCGGCGCCAUCGUCUCCGCCACAGACCCCGUGACGGUGCUGGCCAUCUUCAACGAGCUGCAGGUGGACGUGGACUUGUACGCGCUGUUGUUUGGCGAGAGCGUGCUCAACGACGCCGUGGCUUUGGUUCUCUCCUCGUCCAUCGUGGCGUACCAGCCACAAGGCGACAACAGCCACACUUUCGAGGUCAUGGCCUUGCUCAAGUCCUUUGGGAUGUUCCUCGGCAUUUUCAGCGGCUCCUUCGCUCUGGGCGUGGCCACCGGAUUCGUCACGGCGCUCGUGACAAAGUUCACCAAGCUAAGAGAUUUCCAGCUGCUGGAGACGGCCUUGUUCUUCCUCAUGUCAUGGAGCACCUUCCUUUUGGCUGAGGCUUGUGGCUUCACAGGCGUGGUUGCAGUGUUGUUCUGUGGAAUCACCCAGGCCCACUACACCUUCAACAAUCUGUCGCCCGAGUCCCAGGACAGGACCAAACAGCUGUUUGAGUUGCUGAACUUCCUGGCGGAGAACUUCAUUUUCUCCUACAUGGGUCUGGCCCUGUUCACCUUCCAGAGCCACGUCUUCAACCCCAUGUUCAUCGUCGGGGCUUUUGUGGCAGUGUUCCUGGGGAGGGCGGCCAACAUCUACCCCCUGUCCUUCCUCCUCAAUCUGGGCCGACGCAACAAGAUCAGAUCCAACUUCCAGCACAUGAUGAUGUUUGCAGGACUGCGAGGCGCCAUGACCUUUGCCCUGUCCAUCCGAGACACGGCGACGUACGCGAGGCAGAUGAUGUUCUCCACCACGCUGCUGGUGGUCUUCUUCACCGUCUGGUUCUGUGGCGGCGGCACCACCCAGAUGUUGUCGUGCCAGCGCAUACGAGUGGGAGUGGACUCGGACCAAGACAACUCUGUGAGCAUCGGCGAAGGUUCCGAGCGAAGAACCACCAAACAGGAAAGUGCCUGGCUUUUCCGCCUCUGGUACAACUUUGAUCACAACUACCUGAAACCCAUCCUGACCCACAGUGGCCCCCCCCUCACCGCCACGCUGCCCGCCUGCUGCGCCCCCCUAGCACGCUUCCUCACCAGCCAGCAGGCAUUCCAGAACGAGUGUCAGAUCAAGGACGACGACUCCGACCUCAUCCUGACGGACGGCGAGGUCAACCUGAACUACGGCGACAUCACCGUCAGCACCGACGCCACGGGGGUGCGCACCCAGGACGACCCCGACCAGGAGCUGGCGUGCGGCGACCAGGAGCUGGUGAUGAGGGGCACGCGCCUGGUGCUGCCCAUGGACGACUCGGAGCCGCCCUUCACAGACCCCCGCUUGUGAAGCCCCGCCCCCUUCCUUCUUUUUGCCUCUUCACUUCCGUCCGUCAGCUUGUCUACCUCAUCACGCCGCCAUCUUUUCUUCCCUGUGACAUGUUUGUGUUGGCGUCACCUGACGGCGUGUGUCGUCAUGGUAACGGCCACAGCGCCAACAUGCCCCAUGUCCACGUGCGACGGAGGCAGGAGGGCCACUAAGACAGACCUUCAAAGUCGGAUCUAUCGCAUGCCUGCGUUUCACCAAUCAAACAGAGCCAGGCGGUCACAUGAUUAACUGCACGUAAAGUUUCAGCGGCAAACAACAACAACAACAACAAUGGCAGAGACAACAACGAACGCUUCGCGUCAACCAGAAGAGGAAGAACACCGCUGGCCUCACAUCAAAUCCAUGUUCACGCUUCAGACAAGCAAAAAAAAAACAGUUAUGUAAUGCGUUGUCAUAUGUGUCUCCCCAAACAAGUGGACAUUUCAGCUUGCAUGAACUCAACGUCAAAUUUGAGGAAGCACACGGCGGUAAGUAACGUUAGUAGAUAUUUUGGCUGUGACCGUAGGCUGAUGUUAGCUUCCCUGCUGUGAAUCACUGUCAAAUGUACAUCGUGUGGGUAUAAUUUAUUAACGCACUGCAGCCUCAUAGACACACACACACACACACACACACACACACACACACACACACCCACACACACACAUGCAUAGAAACACCAAUCAGAAGUGCACCUACAACUGUCUUCUUUGCAGCCUUCAUUGUUCA